This 523-nucleotide ribosomal RNA is filed under the name uncultured bacterium. RNAcentral's name for it is "bacterial SSU rRNA". It matches the Rfam family "Bacterial small subunit ribosomal RNA", at positions 356 to 896 of the family's 1533-position model. The record is from RNAcentral.
GGGGAAUAUUGCACAAUGGGGGGAACCCUGAUGCAGCGACGCCGCGUGAGCGAAGAAGGUUUUCGAAUCGUAAAGCUCUGUCCUAUGAGAAGAUAAUGACGGUAUCGUAGGAGGAAGCCCCGGCUAAAUACGUGCCAGCAGCCGCGGUAAUACGUAUGGGGCGAGCGUUGUCCGGAAUUAUUGGGCGUAAAGGGUACGUAGGCGGUUUUUUAAGUCAGGUGUGAAAGCGUGAGGCUUAACCUCAUUAAGCACUUGAAACUGGAAGACUUGAGUGAAGGAGAGGAAAGUGGAAUUCCUAGUGUAGCGGUGAAAUGCGUAGAUAUUAGGAGGAAUACCGGUGGCGAAGGCGACUUUCUGGACUUUUACUGACGCUCAGGUACGAAAGCGUGGGGAGCAAACAGGAUUAGAUACCCUGGUAGUCCACGCCGUAAACGAUGAGUGCUAGGUGUUAGACCCUUUCCGGGGUUUAGUGCCGUAGCUAACGCAUUAAGCACUCCGCCUGGGGAGUACGACCGCAAGGUUG